RNAcentral lists this ribosomal RNA (726 nucleotides) under Pimoa curvata. RNAcentral's name for it is "SSU rRNA". It matches the Rfam family "Eukaryotic small subunit ribosomal RNA", at positions 1015 to 1752 of the family's 1831-position model. Lineage: Eukaryota; Metazoa; Arthropoda; Arachnida; Araneae; Pimoidae. The record is from RNAcentral.
CCGCCCUAGUUCUAACCGUAAACGAUGCCAGCUAGCGAUCCGGCUGUGUUCCUCAAAUGACACGCCGGGCAGCUUCCGGGAAACCAAAGCUUUUGGGUUCCGGGGGAAGUAUGGUUGCAAAGCUGAAACUUAAAGGAAUUGACGGAAGGGCACCACCAGGCAUGGAGCCUGCGGCUUAAUUUGACUCAACACGGGAAAACUUACCCGGCCCGGACACAGGAAGGAUUGACAGAUUAAGAGCUCUUUCUUGAUUCUGUGGGUGGUGGUGCAUGGCCGUUCUUAGUUGGUGGAGCGAUUUGUCUGGUCAAUUCCGAUAACGAACGAGACUCUAGCCUAUUAAAUAGGCGUUCCGAUCCUUCGGGGUCGGACACGACUUCUUCUUAGAGGGACAAGCGGCUUCUAGCCGCACGAGACAGAGCAAUAACAGGUCUGUGAUGCCCUUAGAUGUCCGGGGCCGCACGCGCGCUACAUUGAAGGAAUCAGCGUGUGCUUUCCCUGUCCGACAGGACUGGGUAACCCGUUGAACCUCCGUUCGUGCUGGGGAUAGGGGCUUGUAAUUGUUCCCCUUGAACGAGGAAUGCCCAGUAAGCACGAGUCAUAAGCUCGUGUUGAUUAAGUCCCUGCCCUUUGUACACACCGCCCGUCGCUACUACCGAUUGAAUGCUUUAGUGAGGUCUUCGGACUGGCGCCCGGAUUGGUCUUCGGAUCGAGCCGGCGGUGCCGGAA